This is a non-coding RNA of Podarcis muralis (Common wall lizard), 71 nucleotides long. The record is from the annotation of a RefSeq genome assembly. NCBI's taxonomy places the organism in Eukaryota, Metazoa, Chordata, Lepidosauria, Squamata, Lacertidae.
GGGAUGUAGCUCAGUGGUAGGGCGUCUGCUUUGCAUGCAGAAGGUCCCGGGUUCAACCCCUGGCAUCUGCA